Molecule: ribosomal RNA, 403 nt
Filed under: bacterium
Lineage: Bacteria
Description: partial 16S ribosomal RNA
Rfam family: Bacterial small subunit ribosomal RNA
Source: RNAcentral
UGGGGAAUAUUGCACAAUGGGGGAAACCCUGAUGCAGCGACGCCGCGUGAACGAAGAAGGUAUUCGUAUCGUAAAGUUCUGUCCUAUGGGAAGAUAAUGACAGUACCAUAGAAGAAAGCUCCGGCUAAAUACGUGCCAGCAGCCGCGGUAAUACGUAUGGAGCGAGCGUUGUCCGGAAUUAUUGGGCGUAAAGGGUACGCAGGCGGUUUAAUAAGUCGAAUGUUAAAGAUCGGGGCUCAACCCCGCAAAGCAUUGGAAACUGAUAAACUUGAGUAGUGGAGAGGAAAGUGGAAUUCCAAGUGUAGUGGUGAAAUACGUAGAUAUUAGGAGGAAUACCAGUAGCGAAGGCGACUUUCUGGACACAAACUGACGCUGAGGUACGAAAGCGUGGGGAGCAAACAGG